CAGCAGUAGCCGCGGUAAAACGGAGGGGGCUAGCGUUGUUCGGAAUUACUGGGCGUAAAGCGCACGUAGGCGGCUUGGUAAGUUAGAGGUGAAAGCCUGGAGCUCAACUCCAGAAUUGCCUUUAAGACUGCCGAGCUAGCAGGUGAGAGAGGUAAGUGGAAUUCCGAGUGUAGAGGUGAAAUUCGUAGAUAUUCGGAAGAACACCAGUGGCGAAGGCGGCUUACUGGCUCAUACUGGACGCUGAGGUGCGAAAGCGUGGGGAGCAAACAGGAUUAGAUACCCGUGUAGUCCCUGUCUCUUAUAC
RNAcentral lists this ribosomal RNA (304 nucleotides) under uncultured bacterium. RNAcentral describes it as "partial 16S ribosomal RNA". It matches the Rfam family "Bacterial small subunit ribosomal RNA", at positions 506 to 807 of the family's 1533-position model. The record is from RNAcentral.